Molecule: long non-coding RNA, 258 nt
Organism: Pseudophryne corroboree (corroboree frog)
Lineage: Eukaryota; Metazoa; Chordata; Amphibia; Anura; Myobatrachidae
Exons: 4
Source: RefSeq, a predicted model, not a curated record
GGGUCCACACCUGUUACAGAGGAAUCCACUACAGUAACUACUGGGUCCACCCCUGUUACAGAGGAAUUCACUACAGUAACUACUGAUCCUACUUGGACUACACCGUUUUAUGAAUGGAAUUACAGUUGUGGCGGUCUACGGACUCAAAGCUUUGGUGUAAUAUCGAGCCCUUUCUAUCCCAGCAAUUACCCUCCCUACAGCCAAUGUGUAUGGGAAAUCCGGACAGCACCAAAUACUUCAGUAGAACUCACCUUUCAA